AAGGGAUCACUUUCCCUUUUACGAUUUUUUUCCUUUUUGGGAAAAGUAAUCACUAGAGAGAUCUCUGUCCACCUUCGCUGCUCGCCGUGGCUUUAGCAUUCCCCGCAUUAUUUCGAUAGUUUUCAAGUCUAAAAUCAGGUAAAACUUUUGUUUAUCCUCUGUAAAUUUAUUAAAUUCUGAAUCAGGUAGCUGUUGUUGUUACAUUAUUUAUUAGAAACCCAAAAGUAUAAAGAGAACGCACUUUUUCUAUGAUACAGGCUUAUGAAUUUCGUUAAUGUGUAGAAUAUGAAGUCAAUAUUGGUUCCUGCAUUUAAUUAAUGCUGGAAUCUACGCAUAUGCAAGUCCUACACUCACAUUGCUUUGGGAUUCAGGACGAGCUUUCGAUUUUUCAGAAUGUAGUCGUUACUGGUGAUCCAAUGAUUUAUCUAGAAAUGAAAAUGAAUAAAAACUCGGCUACAUGUUUAUGCUAAUAUUUAAACUGGGGCUAUUUAUGCGUACUUUCAAGUAGUCUAGAUGCUGUUCCGGUGGGUAAAAUAUGUUGCUGAACUUAUAAAAUUUAGAAAUAAAGAGUCUAUGCUAACAUAUUAAUUUAACUUUUCGUUUACAGAGUAUCUACAUUUUUCUUGUAGCAGAUGAGCUGGUUCGUAAUAGCUUUGUGGAAAGUAUAUUUUGAUGGCUUACAUUAAGCUCAAUAACAAGUCUCAGGAUUACCGUGAGCAAAAUGUACAUGCUUAUCGUCGGGUGCGGAGGUUUAGUCGGAUUUCGAGAAGAAGUUUAUUAUUCUGGCUGUUGUCACUUGCAGUGGUGUUCUUUAUCUGUUUGGCAAUUUUUGGAUCAAAGAUGCACUUUCAUGGUGAGAUUAAAGAUUCUCUUAUCCUAUCACAAUACCAACGCAAGUGUUCUGUUUAAAUUAAGUAGUAAAA
Molecule: long non-coding RNA, 923 nt
Filed under: Olea europaea (common olive)
Lineage: Eukaryota; Viridiplantae; Streptophyta; Magnoliopsida; Lamiales; Oleaceae
Description: long non-coding RNA (OEUR_LNC014013)
Source: RNAcentral